Molecule: unclassified non-coding RNA, 341 nt
Filed under: soil metagenome
Description: partial contains 5.8S ribosomal RNA, internal transcribed spacer 2, and large subunit ribosomal RNA
Rfam family: 5.8S ribosomal RNA (bases 1-120)
Source: RNAcentral
GAUGAAGAACGCAGCGAAAUGCGAUAAGUAGUGUGAAUUGCAGAAUUCAGUGAAUCAUCGAAUCUUUGAACGCACAUUGCGCCCUUUGGUAUUCCAAAGGGCAUGCCUGUUCGAGCGUCAUUUGUACCCUCAAGCUUUGCUUGGUGUUGGGCGUCUUGUCUCUAGCUUUGCUGGAGACUCGCCUUAAAGUAAUUGGCAGCCGGCCUACUGGUUUCGGAGCGCAGCACAAGUCGCACUCUCUAUCAGCAAAGGUCUAGCAUCCAUUAACCCUUUUUUUCAACUUUUGACCUCGGAUCAGGUAGGGAUACCCGCUGAACUUAAGCAUAUCAAUAAGCGGAGGA